AGUGAACGCUGGCGGUAGGCCUAACACAUGCAAGUCGAACGGCAGCACAGUAAGAGCUUGCUCUUACGAGUGGCGAGUGGCGGACGGGUGAGGCAUACAUCGGAAUCUACUUUUUCGUGGGGGAUAACGUAGGGAAACUUACGCUAAUACCGCAUACGACCUACGGGUGAAAGCAGGGGAUCUUCGGACCUUGCGCGAUUGAAUGAGCCGAUGUCGGAUUAGCUAGUUGGCGGGGUAAAGGCCCACCAAGGCGACGAUCCGGAGCUGGUCUGAGAGGAUGAUCAGCCACACUGGAACUGAGACACGGUCCAGACUCCUACGGGAGGCAGCAGUGGGGAAUAUUGGACAAUGGGCGCAAGCCUGAUCCAGCCAUACCGCGUGGGUGAAGAAGGCCUUCGGGUUGUAAAGCCCUUUUGUUGGGAAAGAAAAGCAGCAGGUUAAUACCCCGCUGUUCUGACGGUACCCAAAGAAUAAGCACCGGCUAACUUCGUG
Molecule: ribosomal RNA, 492 nt
Filed under: uncultured bacterium
Lineage: Bacteria
Description: partial 16S ribosomal RNA
Rfam family: Bacterial small subunit ribosomal RNA
Source: RNAcentral